UAUAGUCCCAAAUAAUUCCUGGAUUAAGAGUUGGAGAGCUGACUAGCCGUACCUCAUCUAUACUGGAAUCAUAAAGACCGCCAAAGAAUUGGGCCUUGAUAACGAAUAACAAUGCACCCAAGCCCAAAAUGCUUAGGUGAUGCCCUAAGAUAAAGCCUAAUUUUCGAGCAUCUUGCCA
This 178-nucleotide antisense RNA is filed under the name Xenococcus sp. PCC 7305. RNAcentral's name for it is "Antisense RNA which regulates isiA expression". It matches the Rfam family "Antisense RNA which regulates isiA expression". Lineage: Bacteria; Bacillati; Cyanobacteriota; Cyanophyceae; Pleurocapsales; Xenococcaceae. The record is from Rfam by way of RNAcentral.